UACGUAUGUCGCGAGCGUUAUCCGGAAUUAUUGGGCAUAAAGGGCAUCUAGGCGGCCGGAUAAGUCUGGGGUGAAAACUUGCGGCUCAACUGCAAGCCUGCCCUGGAAACUAUGCGGCUAGAGUACUGGAGAGGUGGACGGAACUGCACGAGUAGAGGUGAAAUUCGUAGAUAUGUGCAGGAAUGCCGAUGAUGAAGAUAGUUCACUGGACGGUAACUGACGCUGAAGUGCGAAAGCUAGGGGAGCAAACAGG
This 253-nucleotide ribosomal RNA is filed under the name uncultured bacterium. RNAcentral's name for it is "partial 16S ribosomal RNA". It matches the Rfam family "Bacterial small subunit ribosomal RNA", at positions 524 to 776 of the family's 1533-position model. The record is from RNAcentral.